GGUGGGAUGCCCGAGUGGCUAAUGGGGACGGGCUGUAAACCCGUUGGCUUGCGCCUACGUUGGUUCGAAUCCAACUCCCACCACCA
RNAcentral lists this transfer RNA (86 nucleotides) under Candidatus Hydrogenedens sp. RNAcentral's name for it is "tRNA-Tyr". It matches the Rfam family "tRNA". Rfam says of the family: Transfer RNA (tRNA) molecules are approximately 80 nucleotides in length. The record is from RNAcentral. Lineage: Bacteria; Pseudomonadati; Candidatus Hydrogenedentota; Candidatus Hydrogenedentia; Candidatus Hydrogenedentales; Candidatus Hydrogenedentaceae.